UUUCAUCAAAAGUCUUUAUCUGUAACAUUAAAUGUCAUGAUUAUACCAAUACACAGUUACUGGUCAUAAUUAUAUCAAUCAACAAUUCAUCUUUGCACUAUGGGCCAAAUAUAUUCAUCAAUCAAAAGUUCAUCUUUGCACUACGGCCAAAGUUAUUGCCAAAGAUAACUUUAACCACAAUUUAAGUCUGAGGAUUAUGACAAUGAUAUAAAG
RNAcentral lists this long non-coding RNA (213 nucleotides) under Panax ginseng (ginseng). RNAcentral's name for it is "long non-coding RNA (PGIN_LNC004612)". The record is from RNAcentral. Lineage: Eukaryota; Viridiplantae; Streptophyta; Magnoliopsida; Apiales; Araliaceae.